Long non-coding RNA from Aphis gossypii (cotton aphid), 874 nucleotides. RefSeq lists it as uncharacterized. The record is from RefSeq and is a predicted model, not a curated record. The transcript has 3 exons. NCBI's taxonomy places the organism in Eukaryota, Metazoa, Arthropoda, Insecta, Hemiptera, Aphididae.
AUAGUAUAAUGACAAUCUUAACCAGUUUAGCUGAGGAGUUACAUGGACCAGCGAGAAAAAUAUUUCCUAGACGAAGCGUAGUAACACGGUUUAAAGAUGAUCUCUGGCAAGCUGAUUUAAUAGACAUGCAACCACAUUCUAGACAAAAUAAUGGUUUUAAAUUCAUUUUAAUUAUUAUAGAUACAUUUACCAAGUAUGUGUGGGUAGAAGCACUAAAAAAUAAAACAGCAAAGGAGUGUACAAAAGGUAUAAUAAAAUAUUAAAAAAAAAUCAACCAAAAUUAUUACAAACAGAUAACGGAACAGAAUUUUACAAUAAUGAAUUUCAAAGUAUAAUGAAUAAGUAUCAUAUUAGACAUUAUUCAACAUACAGCAGUAUAAAGGCUGGUUCAUGGAAUUGGAUAAAUUCAAUUUUUAAAUUAGUAUAUAAUUAUAAUAAUACAAAACAUUCAACAAUAAAAUGUUCACCACACGAAGCUCGGAUCAACCCGGUUACAAUUAAAAGAAAAACAUUACAAAUUAAUACAUCAAAUAAACUUAAAUUUAAAAUUAAUGACAAAGUGAUAUUAUUAAAGGUCGACCUCGUAGACGAAUAAUUUCAGAUUUUACGUGAGUCUGUGAUAUAGCUGCAGAAAUAAGUAUUAAAUCUGUACGUUGAUAGUUGCUGAAUUCGAAAUCAAUUAUAAUUAUUUUAUUUUUUGGUUUUUGCCUGUAAUUAAACAACAUCAAUUAAUAGUAUCAUAGUAUUAUUUUUAUCUAUGUUACUAAAAUAUAUUUUAAUAAAAAUAAAAUACUGAUUUCAUAAUUUUUUAUUUUAUAUAAAAUUUAGAUUAUUGAAUGUACUUUAUAUAUUUUAUUGAUUUAUUUUUUUUAUU